GAUGAACGCUGGCGGCGUGCCUAAUACAUGCAAGUCGAGCGAACGGACGAGAAGCUUGCUCCUCUGAUGUUAGCGGCGGACGGGUGAGUAACACGUGGAUAACCUACCUAUAAGACUGGGAUAACUUCGGGAAACCGGAGCUAAUACCGGAUAAUAUUUUGAACCGCAUGGUUCAAUAGUGAAAGACGGUUUUGCUGUCACUUAUAGAUGGAUCCGCGCUGCAUUAGCUAGUUGGUAAGGUAACGGCUUACCAAGGCAACGAUGCAUAGCCGACCUGAGAGGGUGAUCGGCCACACUGGAACUGAGACACGGUCCAGACUCCUACGGGAGGCAGCAGUAGGGAAUCUUCCGCAAUGGGCGAAAGCCUGACGGAGCAACGCCGCGUGAGGGAUGAAGGUCUUCGGAUCGUAAAACUCUGUUAUUAGGGAAGAACAAAUGUGUAAGUAACUGUGCACAUCUUGACGGUACCUAAUCAGAAAGCCACGGCUAACUACGUG
This 497-nucleotide ribosomal RNA is filed under the name uncultured bacterium. RNAcentral describes it as "partial 16S ribosomal RNA". It matches the Rfam family "Bacterial small subunit ribosomal RNA", at positions 28 to 507 of the family's 1533-position model. The record is from RNAcentral.